AGAGUUUGAUUCUGGCUCAGGACGAACGCUGGCGGCGUGCCUAAUACAUGCAAGUAGAACGCUGAAGAGAGGAGCUUGCUCUUCUUGGAUGAGUUGCGAACGGGUGAGUAACGCGUAGGUAACCUGCCUUGUAGCGGGGGAUAACUAUUGGAAACGAUAGCUAAUACCGCAUAACAAUGGAUGACCCAUGUCAUUUAUUUGAAAGGGGCAAAUGCUCCACUACAAGAUGGACCUGCGUUGUAUUAGCUAGUAGGUGAGGUAACGGCUCACCUAGGCGACGAUACAUAGCCGACCUGAGAGGGUGAUCGGCCACACUGGGACUGAGACACGGCCCAGACUCCUACGGGAGGCAGCAGUAGGGAAUCUUCGGCAAUGGGGGCAACCCUGACCGAGCAACGCCGCGUGAGUGAAGAAGGUUUUCGGAUCGUAAAGCUCUGUUGUAAGUCAAGAACGAGUGUGAGAGUGGAAAGUUCACACUGUGACGGUAGCUUACCAGAAAGGGACGGCUAACUACGUGCCAGCAGCCGCGGUAAUACGUAGGUCCCGAGCGUUGUCCGGAUUUAUUGGGCGUAAAGCGAGCGCAGGCGGUUUGAUAAGUCUGAAGUUAAAGGCUGUGGCUCAACCAUAGUUCGCUUUGGAAACUGUCAAACUUGAGUGCAGAAGGGGAGAGUGGAAUUCCAUGUGUAGCGGUGAAAUGCGUAGAUAUAUGGAGGAACACCGGUGGCGAAAGCGGCUCUCUGGUCUGUAACUGACGCUGAGGCUCGAAAGCGUGGGGAGCGAACAGGAUUAGAUACCCUGGUAGUCCACGCCGUAAACGAUGAGUGAAGGGUGUGGGAUCCUUUCCGGGAUUCAGUGCGGCAGCUAACGCCAUUAAACACUCCGCCUGGGGAGUGGGACCGCAAGGUUGAAACUCAAAGGAAUGACGGGGGGGCCGCACAAGCGGUGGAGCAUGUGGUUUAAUUUGAAGCAACGCGAAGAACCUUACCAGGUCUUGACAUCCCGAUGCUAUUUCUAGAGAUAGAAAAAAACUUCGGUACAUCGGUGACAGGUGGUGCAUGGUUGUCGUCAGCUCGUGUCGUGAGAUGUUGGGUUAAGUCCCGCAACGAGCGCAACCCCUAUUGUUAGUUGCCAUCAUUCAGUUGGGCACUCUAGCGAGACUGCCGGUAAUAAACCGGAGGAAGGGGGGGAGGACGUCAAAUCAUCAUGCCCCCUAUGACCUGGGCUACACACGUGCUACAAUGGUUGGUACAACGAGUUGCGAGUCGGUGACGGCAAGCUAAUCUCUUAAAGCCAAUCUCAGUUCGGAUUGUAGGCUGCAACUCGCCUACAUGAAGUCGGAAUCGCUAGUAAUCGCGGAUCAGCACGCCGCGGUGAAUACGUUCCCGGGCCUUGUACA
RNAcentral lists this ribosomal RNA (1396 nucleotides) under uncultured bacterium. Its description in RNAcentral is "bacterial SSU rRNA". It matches the Rfam family "Bacterial small subunit ribosomal RNA". The record is from RNAcentral.